This 530-nucleotide ribosomal RNA is filed under the name uncultured bacterium. RNAcentral describes it as "bacterial LSU rRNA". It matches the Rfam family "Bacterial large subunit ribosomal RNA", at positions 495 to 1025 of the family's 2925-position model. The record is from RNAcentral.
CCAGUACCGUGAGGGAAAGGUGAAAAAGAACCCCGGUUAGGGGAGUGAAAUAGUACCUGAAACCGUGCGCCUACAAGCAGCGGAAGCACGUUAAUGUGUGACCGCGUACCUUUUGCAUCAUGAGCCUGUGAGUUACGUUGCGUGGCAAGGUUAAGCCGCAAGGUGGAGCCGCAGCGAAAAGCGAGUCUUAACAGGGCGAGCAGUCGCGUGACGUAGACCCGAAGCCCGUGCGAUCUAUCCAUGUCCAGGUUGAAGGGCGGGUAAUACCGCCUGGAGGACCGAACCCACCGCAGUUGAAAAUGCGGGGGAUGAGGUGUGGGUAGGAGUGAAAGGCUAAUCAAGCCGGGAUAUAGCUGGUUCUCGUCGAAAUGUAUUGAGGUACAGCCUCAGGUGAAUUGCAUUGGAGGUAGAGCACUGAAUGGGCUAGGGGUCUCACCAGAUUACCAAACCCACUCAAACUCCGAAUACCGAUGACAACUGCCUGGGAGUGAGGCAGCGGGAGAUAAGUUCCGUUGCCGAGAGGGAAAGAG